Molecule: non-coding RNA, 31 nt
Filed under: Mus musculus (house mouse)
Lineage: Eukaryota; Metazoa; Chordata; Mammalia; Rodentia; Muridae
Source: RNAcentral
UGGCUUCUGAGCUGUGUCCGGACUGGGUCUU